AGUCGAACGGGAAGAGAUGAAGAGCUUGCUCUUUAUCAAAUCCAGUGGCAAACGGGUGAGUAACACGUAAACAACCUGCCUUCAGGAUGGGGACAACAGACGGAAACGACUGCUAAUACCGAAUACGUUCCACGGGCCGCAUGACCUGUGGAAGAAAGGGUAGCCUCUACCUGUAAGCUAUCGCCUGAAGAGGGGUUUGCGUCUGAUUAGGCAGUUGGUGAGGUAACGGCUCACCAAACCAACGAUCAGUAGCCGGUCUGAGAGGAUGAACGGCCACACUGGAACUGAGACACGGUCCAGACUCCUACGGGAGGCAGCAGUGGGGAAUCUUCCGCAAUGGACGAAAGUCUGACGGAGCAACGCCGCGUGAGUGAAGACGGCCUUCGGGUUGUAAAGCUCUGUGAUCCGGGACGAAAGAGCCUGAGGUAAAUAGCCUAAGGAAGUGACGGUACCGGAAAAGCAAGCCACGGCUAACUACGUGCCAGCAGCCGCGGUAAUACGUAGGUGGCAAGCGUUGUCCGGAAUUAUUGGGCGUAAAGCGCGCGCAGGCGGCUUACUAAGUCCAUCUUAAAAGUGCGGGGCUUAACCCCGUGAUGGGAUGGAAACUGGAAAGCUGGAGUAUCGGAGAGGAAAGUGGAAUUCCUAGUGUAGCGGUGAAAUGC
RNAcentral lists this ribosomal RNA (662 nucleotides) under uncultured bacterium. RNAcentral's name for it is "bacterial SSU rRNA". It matches the Rfam family "Bacterial small subunit ribosomal RNA", at positions 60 to 689 of the family's 1533-position model. The record is from RNAcentral.